RNAcentral lists this ribosomal RNA (521 nucleotides) under Lodderomyces parapsilosis. RNAcentral's name for it is "eukaryotic LSU rRNA". It matches the Rfam family "Eukaryotic large subunit ribosomal RNA", at positions 106 to 643 of the family's 3401-position model. Lineage: Eukaryota; Fungi; Ascomycota; Pichiomycetes; Serinales; Debaryomycetaceae. The record is from RNAcentral.
AGCUCAAAUUUGAAAUCUGGCACUUUCAGUGUCCGAGUUGUAAUUUGAAGAAGGUAUCUUUGGGUCUGGCUCUUGUCUAUGUUUCUUGGAACAGAACGUCACAGAGGGUGAGAAUCCCGUGCGAUGAGAUGUCCCAGACCUAUGUAAAGUUCCUUCGAAGAGUCGAGUUGUUUGGGAAUGCAGCUCUAAGUGGGUGGUAAAUUCCAUCUAAAGCUAAAUAUUGGCGAGAGACCGAUAGCGAACAAGUACAGUGAUGGAAAGAUGAAAAGAACUUUGAAAAGAGAGUGAAAAAGUACGUGAAAUUGUUGAAAGGGAAGGGCUUGAGAUCAGACUUGGUAUUUUGUAUGUUACUCUCUCGGGGGUGGCCUCUACAGUUUACCGGGCCAGCAUCAGUUUGAGCGGUAGGAUAAGUGCAAAGAAAUGUGGCACUGCUUCGGUAGUGUGUUAUAGUCUUUGUCGAUACUGCCAGCUUAGACUGAGGACUGCGGCUUCGGCCUAGGAUGUUGGCAUAAUGAUCUUAA